GGAUGCGAUCAUACCAGCACUAAUGCACCGGAUCCCAUCAGAACUCCGCCAGUUAAGCGUGCUUGGGCGAGAGUAGUACUAGGAUGGGUGACCUCCCGGGAAGUCCUCGUGUUGCAUCCCUCU
RNAcentral lists this ribosomal RNA (123 nucleotides) under Arabidopsis thaliana (thale cress). The record is from RNAcentral. Lineage: Eukaryota; Viridiplantae; Streptophyta; Magnoliopsida; Brassicales; Brassicaceae.